Molecule: ribosomal RNA, 468 nt
Filed under: uncultured bacterium
Lineage: Bacteria
Description: partial 16S ribosomal RNA
Rfam family: Bacterial small subunit ribosomal RNA
Source: RNAcentral
GACGAACGCUGGCGGCGUGCUUAACACAUGCAAGUCGAACGGAAAGGCCCCGCUUUUGUGGGGUGCUCGAGUGGCGAACGGGUGAGUAACACGUGAGUAACCUGCCCUUGACUUUGGGAUAACUUCAGGAAACUGGGGCUAAUACCGGAUAGGAGCUCCUGCUGCAUGGUGGGGGUUGGAAAGUUUCGGCGGUUGGGGAUGGACUCGCGGCUUAUCAGCUUGUUGGUGGGGUAGUGGCUUACCAAGGCUUUGACGGGUAGCCGGCCUGAGAGGGUGACCGGCCACAUUGGGACUGAGAUACGGCCCAGACUCCUACGGGAGGCAGCAGUGGGGAAUAUUGCACAAUGGGCGGAAGCCUGAUGCAUCAACGCCGCGUGCGGGAUGACGGCCUUCGGGUUGUAAACCGCUUUCGCCUGUGACGAAGCGUGAGUGACGGUAAUGGGUAAAGAAGCACCGGCUAACUACGUG